This 253-nucleotide ribosomal RNA is filed under the name uncultured bacterium. Its description in RNAcentral is "partial 16S ribosomal RNA". It matches the Rfam family "Bacterial small subunit ribosomal RNA", at positions 524 to 776 of the family's 1533-position model. The record is from RNAcentral.
UACGUAGGGAGCAAGCGUUGUCCGGAAUCAUUGGGCGUAAAGCGCGCGUAGGCGGCCCUGUAAGUCCGUUGUGAAAGUCAAAGGCUCAACCUUUGAAAGCCGAUGGAUACUGCAGGGCUAGAGUCCGGAAGAGGCGAGUGGAAUUCCUGGUGUAGCGGUGGAAUGCGCAGAUAUCGGGAGGAACACCAGUGGCGAAGGCGGCUUCCUGGCCUGUUCUUGACGCUGAGGCGCGAAAGCUAGGGGAGCAAACGGG